AUUCUAUAGUUCUAUAUGCUAUAGUUUGUCACCUGGCCACAUCUAAAUGGGGGAAAGGCUAGGAAAUGUAAUUAACAAUUCUUAUUAUUUUAGCCAGAAAGAAGGAGAGAAGUAGUCCCUCCCACAGGAUGCGUGGUGGAGAGCGUCAGAGGAAGACCCUGGCAUGGAUAGGAGGCAGAUGGGGAAGGCCCGGGGUGACACUCAAGUAGUUUGGACUUUAUGCUACUGGAAGAAAGGAACCAUCAGCUAGUUUAAGCAGGAGAAAGAGGGAAACUGAGCUAUGUUUUAUGGAGAUCUCCCUAACAGCUGUGUGGAUAGGUUCUGGUGGGGUGAUUCUGUGACCCAGAGACCAGUUAGAAAGUAGUUGCCUAUUGCCCCAGGCCAGGUGACAGGUGAUGAGGACUUGGACCAGGGCAAUGACAAUGGGAUGGAGAAAAGAGAAUGGAAGAGCACGACAUGGUAGUGUAGAAGAGGACAGACUUUGGUGACCAUUAGGAAAUGGAGGUGAAGGAAGAGGAUGGCAUUUAGGAGGACACCAAGGUUUUCGGCUUGAGCAGUUUGCUCAAGAAAUUUGAGGCUGCAAACAUCCUUUUCCCAGACAUCCAGGACCUAGGUCAAAUCUCUCGAUUUCAAGACAAGUCUUGUUUGUAGUUAGGCUGGGGCUGUCGGCCUAGGCUCUGGACAAAACGAUGCAGGUGGAAAGCUCGUCUCUUUCAGGUUUGGUCCUUAAUAGCCAGCAUCAUCUGCCAGUCUGCUCUUUCCCCAAUUUGACAACGUUGGGGGCCAUGAGUUCCAGAUGGCAUAAACUUGGAGGACGGCUGCCCAAUACACAAUUGGACAUCUCAGGAGCCAGGAUUAAACUUCUGUAUUGAG
RNAcentral lists this long non-coding RNA (873 nucleotides) under Equus asinus (donkey). RNAcentral describes it as "lncRNA (ENSEASG00005027304.1, ENSEASG00020005601.1)". Lineage: Eukaryota; Metazoa; Chordata; Mammalia; Perissodactyla; Equidae. The record is from RNAcentral.